AUUUUCGGGUUACCGCGGUCUGAGUAAUCAGGCUGAGGAAAGUCCAUGCUCGCACAGACUGAGAUGUCUGUAGUGUUCGUGCUUAGCGAAACCAUAAGCUAAGGUACUCUUUCAGAGUAACGGCAGGAAAAAACGGCUAAGGCUUCGGCUAUGUCUGAGUAUCCUUGAAAGUGCCACAGUGACGAAGCAGUACGGGAAACCGUACUGGUGGAACGCGGUAAACCCCUCGAGCGAGCAACCCAAAUUUUGGUAGGGGCACUCUUCUAAAGGAAAUGAACGAGUAGGAGAGGCAGAAUACUUCUGCAGAUAGAUGGUAACCAUCAGUUUUUUUACCUGAGAAAAUUCUGAUACAGAACAUGGCUUAUAGAA
Molecule: non-coding RNA, 369 nt
Organism: Enterococcus sp.
Lineage: Bacteria; Bacillati; Bacillota; Bacilli; Lactobacillales; Enterococcaceae
Source: Rfam